RNAcentral lists this long non-coding RNA (23283 nucleotides) under Mytilus galloprovincialis (Mediterranean mussel). The record is from RNAcentral. Lineage: Eukaryota; Metazoa; Mollusca; Bivalvia; Mytilida; Mytilidae.
UGGUAAACAAGAUAUAAACGACAAGGAUGAAGAGAAGUAUUGACGGCAAAACUAAAAUGAAUGGAGAUUAUUCUGGGAUGAAUGGUGACAGCAAACCAAAGAAUGGUCAUCUGUAUUUAGCUGGGUAUGAUUUUGACUUAAAUAAUCUGCCGGCACGUGUAGCUCAAGGCACAAAAAAAAAAAUACAAGACAAGAGCAGACAACAUGAUUUAGCUUCACCUUGGUAGAGAACAGAUAUAUUAUACCAAGGAAUUGUAUUUUAAAUAUACAAUUCCUUGAUUAUACCAAUUACUUUCUAUCUACAAGAAAAUGUCAUGACCAUGUGACAAAAAUAUGAGGACAUAGAAAAGAGGUUAGAAAAUGCCCUUUUACUGUUAGGCUUCAAAUGUUAAUAUAUUUUACUAGUUAGCAUCAAAUUGUGAGUUGUCAAAAUAUCCUUGUUGUGAUAAUUAUCUGUUACGGUUAUUUUGGAGAAAAAUUAAUGUGAUUUGUCAAAAUCGGUCAUUUUUUUAUGGUAAUUAAGAAAUAUGCAUUUUAUCAGUAGGCACCAAAAAUUAUCGUUUACAUCAUUUGGCAAGAUUUUCCCCCAUUGCUCGCAAUGAAAGUACCCAAAACGACCCUAAGAAAAGAACAGAGAUUUGGAAAGGAAUAAGGAUAUAACAUGCAAUUUCCAAGAGUAUGUAUUGUUAAAAGUACCACGGCAUACAAACUUUAAACCUGUCAUUUAAAUGAUAUUAGGGAAACCUGUGUUCACCAAGUAUAGGUUUUCAUAAUGGACAAGAUGUUAAAUUUAAUAGUUAUAUACAUGUAAAUGUUAUUUGUAUUUAACUUAUUCUUGACUAGCUGAAUUUAAAAAAUAUAUGUUUUUGGAACGAUUUUUAUUUUUAAUUUAAAGCUGGAUAUAUUUUGCCAUUAUAUGUUAUCCAUUUUAAUCAUGUGUUUAGAUCAUAUUGUUACUAAUUAGAUUUUACAAUGACAGGUUUCCUUGGAGAUGAUUGUCAAUUUCUUCUUUAUUACAUAUUAAUAUUAUAACUCAUGUCUAAAGCUGUGCUUUUGGUUUGAAAAUUUUUGAUCAAUAUUUACUGUUUUAUACAAAUUAUGUUAUAUUUGUUUAAAUCUUACAAUUUUGUACCAAUUUCUAACUGCAUCAUACAGGUACUAAAAAACAAUAUAUAUUUAUAACAGAUGUGUAAAAAAGGACAAAAGUUCAAUAUCUGACUGAAUAUCAGUGUGUCAGAUGUAAUUUCUGUUGUCAGUAAUGUUUUCAACAUAUAUAUAUACAUGUACAUGUAUAUUUGUAUCACAUUUAUACAGAAUUUCCUCUGGAAACUUAAAAAAAAAUAUGCCAUAAUAUCUGUUCCUGUUGGAACAUUCCCUGUAUUUUGUUAGGAAGUACAUUUUUAUUAUGCUGUUCAACUUAGUACUUCAUUGGACCUUUUUAAUUUUUUUGGAUUCGAGCGUCACUGAUGUGUCUUUUGUAGAAGAAACGUGCAACUGGCGUAAAUACAAAAUUUAAUUAAUGGGUUGAGGUCAUAAAACUUUACUCAGUGCUCCGAGCACAUAGAUCAUGCUCCAAACAUGAAUUCCAACAUUUUGAUUGGUUGAUUUUGGAGUAUGAGCAUGAUGAGUUUAAAAAACUGAAACAAGGGUAUAUCUAUGACGAGUUAACUUUAUUUAUAGUGUAAUAAUAAUAUUAAUCGUUCCAAUGGAAAUGAUAUUCCAGAAUUUUUUUUCCAUUUUAAAAUAUUAUGAAGGAACUUGUAUUUCAUGCCAAUGUUUCAUUCAGAAUUCAUCUUAAUUUCUUGUAUGUGCAAUAAAAAACCUAAAUUCCAAGGUUAAGAUUAAAUCUACUGAAGGUGUCUGAAUUUAACAGACUUAAAGAUCCUGAACAUUUGUAAAACGCUCAGGGUGCAAAAUUGUGUUAUUACAGCCUACUAUAAUUAAAUUUCAUUUGAUAUCUGCCCUCUUAGCAUGACUAUUUACAUUGCCUACAUGAAAUAUUUACAUGUCACAAUGGAUAUUGUAUAUAAUGUUUACAUUUCAACGAUUGACCAAAUAGUUUUCUUUUUAUUUAUGUUUAUUCUUUUCCACCCUUUAGAUUCAAGCUUCAAUCAUUUGGGUGGUUUUGAAUUAUUUGAUAACUUGUGUUUAAUUUAAUAACUUGAAAUGACAUUCAGGUUUAAAAGGUAAAAUGCAUGCUUUGUUGUUGUUCAGACCUGUUAAGUAUUUUUGUGAUCUUGAAAAUACACAUGAAAAGAAAUGUUCAGUCUGAAUUCAUUUAUAUUUUGUGUACAUAUUGAUAUUUAGUCGUGUGUUAAAUUUCUAGUGAUAAACAUGAAGGGAAAAAUUAUGAUAAAUAUGGUGUCUGAAGGUGUGUCAUUUUGUUUACAGUAACUAAGCUGUUGAUUGGCUCAAAAGAGAGUGUGUGUCUUGGUCAAGGUUAGAACAAACAUGUUCUAUUUUCAGGACAUUUUUAUUAUGUAGUAUUUUAUUUUUGACCCACUUUAAAUUAAUUCUUAGUAGUCUAAUUGCAGGGUCUUUUUGUCAUGUUUGUGUUGAAUAUAUAGUUUAUAGGCAAGAGAAAAGGAAUUUAAAUGAUCUUGUGACAUUAAAAAUAGAUUUUGUUUAAUUUAACUCACAGUUGGCAGUUUGUGUAUACAUAACAACCAAAAGCAUUAAGUUUCUAAUUUUAGUUAAAAUAUUAUAAAUUUUUUGAGUACUAGGUACAAUGUCAAUGUAGUUAUAAUUUCAUAAAGUCAGAUAUAAAUCUGCAAUUAAGCAGUUCUUGAUAUACAUAGAACAUGUGACAAUUGCAUGUGAUCUGCAUUCAUGUGGUAUAAUACUUAAUUAUGAUGCAAGUUACAUGUCAUUUUGAUGUGGUAGGCAAUAAAUAACAGUUCACCUUUAAGUUUUAAAAAACGUAAAUAAAAAACCACCUUGAAGUUAGGUUUAUGAAUAAAGAAGAUUUAUAUAUGAUUUCAUUUCUUUUUGAUAAUGCGUUUACAUUUUAUGAAAGGAUAAAAGGUACAUUUUGUGACAUUUUAAAAACAAAAUUUAAACACAGGGGAAGUGGUAAGAUUUAUAAAGAGAUAACUCUCCUAUAAAAAACAUGUGACGUAGAGGUUAACAGCUAUACCUAACCGUACUAACCACAACAAUGAACAGAAACUAUACUGCAUAUAGCAAACUUUUAAGAGAACAUUUUCUUAAAUAUUUGCCUACAAGUCAUACUGUCAUAAUAGGUUGAGCAUUUUGAUUUGAAUGAAUAUGUAUUUAAUAACGAUGGGCUAUUACCCUUUGAAACUUAUUAUGAUUGUAGUGUUAGAAAUACAAAAAAAAAACAAAUGUAAUGAUGAAUAAGGCACGUACAUAUAACCCUCUUCCCUCACAGAAAUAAUCUUUGAUCUCUGAUGUUAAUACACACAUAUUUGUUUUGACAUGUUUGCACAUUGAAUUGAUCAAGUCAAACAAAAAAGUAUGUGUGUUUAUUCUACCGCCACCUACCCUAAUCUUUUUUUGGUUUGACCAUUUUUGAUAUCUAAGCACUGUCAAAUUCACAUUGUUUUUCCCAUAGACUCAAUGUAAAACAAAUAUUAAAAGAAAUCCUUACCUACCUACCCUAUUUAUUUCAGCAUGUUACAGUAAACACUCAUACAUAUGUACUUUUUUGUUUGGCCUAGGAAAGGGUUCUCACUUACAGUCCUCAGCUCAAAUCAUUUAAGACUCAAGUUACCAUUUAAGAGUCCCAAGGUACACUAAGAUUAUGGUACCUUAUCUAGAAAUAUAUAAUGCUACAAGACUCAAAAUGAGUUUCAGCUUUGAUUGCCUUGAUUGUUCAAUAAACUGUGGAUUACCCAGGGGUUUCAUUAUCUUUCAUGUUGACUGGUACUUUCCACCUUUCUAGGUGGUACUUUUCAAUUUAUUCCAUGAAUAUCUUAUAUAAAAAUUCCUACAUUUAGGCGGUACUUGUCAAUAGCAUAGGAGGGUAAAAGUACCAGGUACCUCCUCCCAUUGAAUGGCCUGAUAAUUGACCCACAGUCAAAAUUAAGCUUUCCCUUGAUUCAUAUUUAUUGGAAAAUAAAUCCUGAUGUGAAAACCCUGUAAACAUGAUAAAAGUAAGAAAUUAUUUUGAUAACAAAUUAAAUACACUGAAUUUAAAAACAAUAAAACAUGUUCUUUUCAGGUGGUGAAUUUUCACUUCCCCCUUCUUCUGAUGUAUAUGAUUGAUAUAACAUUUAAACAAACCGAUAAUAAAAUUACACAAACAUAUUUAUUAUACAUGUAACCAUAAUAACAGGAUAGUCAUACAUUAAUAAUUAAGAAAAGAUUUAUUUUUAUAUUAUUAAUAAUGAGAGUGACGAACGUAAAUGACCAUAUCCUUGACUAGGGUUAUUACUGUGCGCCUGUUUUGAUUUCACAGGAAAAUCACAUCAUAUUUCAACCAGUGUAAACCACUUACAGUUUAGAGUUGUCUUGUGUGAUUCCCUGCCAUAUCCCUUCAGAAAGUACACGCAGUAAUCUAAAUUUUCCUUUAGUCAUGUAAGAAACAGAUUUGACCACGAUCUCCGAUUAGUACAAUAUUUAUCCAUUCAGAAUAGUUAAAAGUUAUAAGUCUUAUAAAUGAGUGGUAUUACCUCCAAUUUUAAGUUUUUAAAUUUUAAACUAUCUUGAGGGGAUAAAUAUCCUAAUCAAUGUGGUUGUGUUUUGACUAUCCUUUUUCAAGGAUUUGUCACUAUAUACAUUAAAAGAAACUUUAUGGGGUAUAUUUUUUGUCAAUCUUAUUAAAUUUCAAUUUGUUUUGUAUGAUCUGUUUCUGAUUGUGUGUUAGAUCUGAAAACAACCCAGAAGGGUAAUCUUUAGAUGAACUUGUACAUGCAUGCAAGAUUGUAAAUCAACCAAUUGUUUCAAGUGACACACUGGCAUAUUGAUUACAUACUCACGGCCGACACUCGGCUAACCGAGAGAUUGGUCGGUUAAUCUAUAUUGAGUAUGCGGCUAUAUCGGCGGUUGGUCUGUUAAUCGGGUUGGCUAAAGUCUGUUAAUCAGGUGUUAUCGAGAAAAACAUUGAAAGUUCAGCAUGUUUCAUUGUAUAACUUUCUAAAUAUAUUUUCAUAAAAAAAUGUAUUCAUGUCUAACAAAACAAUUCAAUGUACUGAAUUCAGUGGUGUAAUUAUUAUUUUUCUAGCUUCGAUGUACGAUCUAUAAAAUGAAAAGGCGCGUUACUCAUCAAUAAAUUUAUACACAUUUUACAACAUAAAAUGUACACAAAAUGACACAUUUGUUAAAUUUAGUUGCAUUCAAUAUUUUGAACAUCGAAAAAAGAAAGGCAUUAUGUUUGUUAACCAUAUUGAUAUAAUUGUGUGAAAAAUCUACAUGAAAAUCUGUAUUUUGAUGACAUAAAUCAAUCUUUAUUUAAACCUGGUCUGUUAAUGGGUCGGAUGUAUAAAACCCGGUCUGUUAAUUGGUCUGUUAAGAGUUAUGAAUGGCAAUACAAGUAUAAUGUUAUUGCUAUAUGGGGUGUUAUCGGAUCAAAUGAGUAAGCUCAAGACGAGCGGCUAAAAUAUACGAAAACAACACAUGAGCAAUGAAACAUAACAUAUACGGAAACAACACAUGAAAUUGAAAAUUGAUAAAAAUGGUUUCAAAAUGUGUAAUAUUAAAGUAAUAUUAAUUUCAUCCAAGAAUGAUCGCAUAUAUCAUGUUGAUUCUGUUUAAUUGUCAUGAAUGACACAAAUUUGUCAACUACAUGGGUAACCAGUAUAUAAAUCAGAGCUAACCGUCGUAAUGUAAGUUACUAAACAUCAGUAAGUAAAAUAUAUUGGGAUGACAAAAUGUGAAAAAUAAAGAAAGAAUAAUGAGUAAGAUAAAUAAAAUGUAGAAAAAAAUGACAUAACAAUUUAAAGAAUACAGAAAUAAACAAUACCCCCAAUCCCGGACCGUCAUGGUAUACACGAGAAUCUGGAUGGAAAUGCAGAAUAUAGAAUAAUAUAUAAGGACAGUAGAGAGUGAUACUUGCUAAAGACGAGAGAAAAAUAAUACUUGUUUAAGAAUACACACAUAAAACACCGAUGGCUGUUGAAACAGUAACGGAUUGCGAUGUACUUAUAUUGGUGACAAAUUUUAGAAGUUUACAUGCGGAAAACUAUGGUGGCAGGUUAAUGCCAAUUUGCGUUUUAGCGCUUUAGUGUUUUCGCCUUACAUAUUUUAUAUGGCGAAAACGCGAAAUUGCGAAAUUGCGAAGUUGAAAACGCGCGAAACCGAUUUUUCGUUUUCGACUUCGCGAUUUCGCCUUUUCGUCCUAUAGAAUAUGAAAGGCGAAAUCCCGAAAACACGAAAUGGACUUCACCGGUCACCAAAGACAACUGUAGUUCUCCUCUGCACUUAUGUAGAAAAGGAACUAAACGGAAUAAAAUGAAUUGAAACUUAAAAUAACCAAAUGUAGCUGCAUUCGCUCCUUUCCGUUUACUUCUUUAGAGUAAUUUGUAAACAACAUCAUAAUGAUUAAGUAAUAGAAGAAAAGAACCAAUUGGAUGAUGCUGAAUUAAGGGUUUAAUGUUCAGUGACAAAAUAUAUGUUCAUAUGUGAACGAGAACACUUAUAUAUACCCUUGUUGUAUUAGAAAGACAUUUCAGUCGGAAUUGAGAACGUGCCACGUCAAACAGACACAAAAUUAGGCUGAUUAAAACGUCAAUAAAAAUCCAUGCAAUUCCAAGGCCAAUCCAUAUCACGCUAUAUUGAGUGACACCUUCAAAAAAAUGCAAAAAAGUCAAAAUUAAAUGCUCUUUCUAGGAUACUGUGUCAUUUGUGUUUACUCAGGAACAUCUCAUUCUUAAAUUUUUCAAGGGGAAAAUAUAAAGAUAGCACAAUUAUUGUCGUGGCUAAAUAACUCUAACUGACACAAUUUAAUUGUCCAACCCAUUAACGACUUUAUUACCAUAAUUUUCACUUAAACGUGAGAUUCACUUUUACAAUUAUGAAAUAUUUACUAAUGUCAAUUUAUUUCUUUAGAACCAAGUACUAUUUUGUCCUUUAAAUGAUAUCUAAAUUUGUUUGUUUCGCCUUUUAUUACAAAAAUUGCUAUGCGUAUAAGCAUAAAUACUACAUACUUGCGCAACGCCUUUUAGUUUUACUGAAAACUGCGCAGACUAAGAAAUGUUUUUACAAGUGCAAAAUGUUCUAUGAUAGAUAUCGUUUUGUCAGACACUUUCCUUUUCUUGAUAUGGUUCUUAUAACAUGCCAAAAAUCUGUAUAUUUAAUAGAGUUUAACAUUAAAUUAAGCGUUUUACUCUUAACAGACGUAUAACCAACCGAUUAACAGACCAAUCGCCCAUAUAGCCGCAUACUCAAUGUAGAUUAACCGACCAAUCUCUCGGUAAGCCGAGUGUCGGCCGUGAUACUGGUAUUUUUAAUCACAAUUGAAAAACAAAAUUUCCUUUAUAUUGAUUCAAAAGUUUAUUGGACUUCUGAUUUAUGAUAUAUAUAAAGUAUAGAAAUGUUUAUUUUAAGGAUCAGAGCAUAAAAUGCAAAUAAUCUACAUGUCUUCAAGAAACAUAAUUAAAACAUUAGAUUUGGGGACUAUAUUCUGAAAUAUUUCAUAGUUUAAUUGACUGUUUAACAUAGUUAUAUGCAAUGUUUUUGAUAUAGAAAUAAAGAGAUCGAUGUGGUUUCUGGUAUAGUUGCCAAUGAGACAAAAGGACUCAUCUGAUAUAUACAAAACAGAAAAACAUAUAACUAAAACACAGACCAGACAGACAUGGCAGUGUGUUCAUACUUCUAUCUAACAAAAAAAGUCACAAAGUACAGAUCAGAGAGUACUCACAGUUACUGACAGCUUAGGGUCAAUAUAAAUAACAACUUAUAAAAAAAUCAUGUAUGUCAACUCUCAAGAAGAAAAAUUAUCAAUUAGUACAAAUGAACUAGUUUCCUCCUUAAUAAUUUCUUUACAUGAUCUAACAAAGUACAUGUAUAUAUAUUGACAAUACAGAUACUUAAAAACUUACACAAAAUACUGUGCAUCAACUCCUUUUCACGAGCGAUUUAUUUUUUCGAAUUUCGGGAGUAAAAAAAAUACGCGAAUAUAAAUCUGCGUGAAUAUAUACAAAAUUAGAUUUUUCCUAAACAAACUACACGAAGUUAAUUAGAAAAUUGAGAAAUUGAAUAGCUGCAAAUAGGAUUUGAAAGGGAAAAACGUGAGAUAAUUCACAAAAAAAAUAAGUUGGUUUACAGUAAUUUGACUAUUAAAUGAAAAUAAGAAAUUGUUGACUGAAUGAAAUGUAAUAGGUACUUAAAACAUUUCAUCACAUUCACUAUUUUAUGAUUUGAGAAUAAAAAAGUACUUAAUUAUGUUUUAUUUGAGAAUAAAAAAGUACUUAAUCAUGUUAGGUUUAAUAAUCAGAUGUUAUUUAGUGAAAAUCAUAUAUAGCAUUACCUAGUUAAACUGUAAUACAUGGUAAAGAAAGUAACAUGAAUAAAUUAAUUCUUAUCUCUCUUUUAUGGAAAGUCAUAAUGACAGUAGUAAAAUCGAUUGCAAUCUCAUGCACACUUAAGGUAGAUGGGGUGUCUAAAUUAUAAUCCAUAGAAUUUUUUGAUAAUUUGCCAAAAUGUAGUUUAUAACUGCUUGUUUCAAAACUAAUUAAAAGAAUGGGUCACCGGCUUAUUUCACACUACAGGUUGUGCAAAGUUGUCAGAUUUAGUAUAGAAUAUGCAUGGAAACCCCAAUUUUCCUCAUUAAAACGAAAACUACACCAAAGAAUUUUUAGAUAAAAUAUGAGAAGAUGGCUGUAAUAUUAUUCUUUCAGAUAAGAAAAAGAAAAAUGGGGGUCACGAACUUUUUCUUGCUAAUAUAAAAUGGGUAAAUUCCUAACACAUCUAUUGUAAAAAUAACACAAUCUGAAUUAUCUGCCUUGCAUUUGAGUGUCUCCCCUUAUUUGGCAAAGUUGGGAAAAUUUGAAUCAAACAAAAGUAUUCAGUUAAUGGUAAAAUACAACCAUAAAUAUGAUAAAACAUUGCAUUUUCUGUAUUAUAAUGAAAAAUUUUACACAUGAAUUACCUACUUAUCUCAAAAUUUGCACAUUUUAUCAAAGAUAUAGACCUUGUUUUCUGGUAUUUCAAAAUCCAAGAUGGAGGAAGACACCCUAUCUACCUUAACACUGUUGGCUAUUUGAUAAGAGUACAUCUGUCACUCUUUGGUUUUUUUACAUGAAAGUUGAAAAAGAACAUUUAAGUGUGUUUCACCAAGAUAUAUAUGAACUUCAAUUUUUAAUUAUCAUAAUAUGUUUUCUUGGUACAUUAGUUGUACAUUGUACAUUUAAAGUAUGGAUUUUAAGGAUGUAUUGAUAAUUUCCUUAUUUGUCAUCAUACCUGAUCAUUGGAUGCACACUUGAUGUCUUAGUUUUUCUUUUUUAACUCUUUUACUUUAAAUAAGCUGUAUUUUGGACCAUACAAAUUCACUAUUUGUACUGGUUAAAACUGCUCAAGAUUAUUUAUAUUUUUCACAACUUUGCUUGUGUCUGAAUUGAGAUAUCUUGAAAUAAGGGGGUAUACAUGGACAUAUACCAUGUAUUUGCAAUUUGAUCUUAAUGAUGAAGAGAUACUGAUAAAUCCCUGACUAACAUUUUAUAUUUCACAGUUCAAAAUGUGCAUGUUCAUCAUUUCAUGUUUAUAUUCUACAAAUUCACUGACUUUUUAUUCCCCAUUUAUUAUGCCCCAUUUAUGGGCAUUAUGUUUUCUGGUCUGUGUGUCCUUUCGAGGUAGUUCUUUAUUAAACUGAAGUCCAAUCAACUUGAAACUUAGUACACAUGUUCCUUAUGAUAUGAUCUUUCUAAUUUUAAUGCCAAAUUAGAGAUUUUCCCCCAUUUUCAAGGUCCAUUGAACACAGAAAAUGAUAGUGUGGAUGUACUAGGGACACAUUCUUGUUUAUAAUUAUUUCAAACUUCAUGUCUUGAUGUGUUUAAUAUUGGAUUCAUUAUUAGGCUAUGGAUUGUCGGUCAUAACCUCAUUUUAAUGCAUCAAAGGCCGGGUCAAUCAAAGUUUUCUAAAAUCAAAUCUUCUACAUUAAUUUUCAUUAUAUUUAUCAUUAUGAUUGAACAACAAGUUGGAUAUUUAUUUGUUUUGACAAUUCUGUGUCAAAUUGCUUGACCUGGUUUUUUAGCUCACCUGGCCCGAAGGGCCAAGUGAGCUUUUCCCAUCACUUUGCGUCCGGCGUCGUCCUGCGUCCGGCGUCGUCCUGCGUCCGGCGUCGUCCUGCGUCGUUAACUUUUACAAAAUCUUCUCCUCUGAACUACUGGGCCACAUAAUACCAAACUUGGCCACAAUCAUUAUGGGUAUCUAGUUUAAAAAAUGUAUCCGGUGACCCAGCCCUAACCAAGAUGGCCGCCACAUCUAAAAAUAGAACAUAGGGUAAAAUGCAGUUUUUGGCUUAUAACUUAAAAACCAAAGCAUUUAGAGCAAAUCUGACAUGGGGUAAAUUUGUUUAUCAGGUCAAGAUCUAACUGCCCUGAAAUUUACAGAUGAAUUGGACAACCUUUUGUUGGGUUGCUGGCCCGGGCCCUGAAUUGGUAAUUUUAAGGAAAUUUUGCUGUUUUUGGUUAUUAUCUUGAACAUUAUUAUAGAUAGAGAUAAACUGUAACAGCAAUAAUGUUCAGCAAAGUAGAUUUACAAUAAUCAACAUGAGAAAUGGUCAGUUGACCCCUUUAGGAGUUAUUGCCCUUUAUAGUCAAUUUUAACCAUUUUUUCGUAAAUCUUAGUAAUCUUUUACAAAAAUCUUCUCCUCUGCAAACUACUGAGCCAAAUUAAUCCAAACUACCACAAUCAUCUUUGGGUAUCUAGUUUAAAAAAAUGUGUCCGAUGACUCAGCCUACCAAAAAGAUGGCCGCCAUGCUAAAAAUAAACAUAGGGGUAAAUGCAGUUUUUGGCUUAAACUCCAAAAACCAAAGCUUUAAGCAAAUCUGACAUGGGUAAAAUUGUUAAUCAGGUCAUGAUCUAUCUGCCCUGAAAUUUACAGACCAAUCGGACAACCUUUUGUUGGGUUCAUGCCCUGAAUUGGUAAUUUUAAGGACAUUUUGCUGUUUUGGUUAUUAUCUUGAAUAUUAUUAUAGAUAGAGAUAAACUGUAAACAGCCAUAAUGUACAGCAAGUAAGACCUAAAAAGAAGUCAACAUGACCAAAAUGGUCAAUUGACCCCCUAAGGAUUAUUGCCCUUUAUUUAGUCAUUCUUUAACAAUUUUCACAAAAUUGUAAAAUUUACUAACAUUUUCCACUGUAACUACGGCCAAGUUCAUAUAGAUAGAGAUAAUUGUAAGCAGCAGAUUGUUCAGUAANNNNNNNNNNNNNNNNNNNNNNNNNNNNNNNNNNNNNNNNNNNNNNNNNNNNNNNNNNNNNNNNNNNNNNNNNNNNNNNNNNNNNNNNNNNNNNNNNNNNNNNNNNNNNNNNNNNNNNNNNNNNNNNNNNNNNNNNNNNNNNNNNNNNNNNNNNNNNNNNNNNNNNNNNNNNNNNNNNNNNNNNNNNNNNNNNNNNNNNNNNNNNNNNNNNNNNNNNNNNNNNNNNNNNNNNNNNNNNNNNNNNNNNNNNNNNNNNNNNNNNNNNNNNNNNNNNNNNNNNNNNNNNNNNNNNNNNNNNNNNNNNNNNNNNNNNNNNNNNNNNNNNNNNNNNNNNNNNNNNNNNNNNNNNNNNNNNNNNNNNNNNNNNNNNNNNNNNNNNNNNNNNNNNNNNNNNNNNNNNNNNNNNNNNNNNNNNNNNNNNNNNNNNNNNNNNNNNNNNNNNNNNNNNNNNNNNNNNNNNNNNNNNNNNNNNNNNNNNNNNNNNNNNNNNNNNNNNNNNNNNNNNNNNNNNNNNNNNNNNNNNNNNNNNNNNNNNNNNNNNNNNNNNNNNNNNNNNNNNNNNNNNNNNNNNNNNNNNNNNNNNNNNNNNNNNNNNNNNNNNNNNNNNNNNNNNNNNNNNNNNNNNNNNNNNNNNNNNNNNNNNNNNNNNNNNNNNNNNNNNNNNNNNNNNNNNNNNNNNNNNNNNNNNNNNNNNNNNNNNNNNNNNNNNNNNNNNNNNNNNNNNNNNNNNNNNNNNNNNNNNNNNNNNNNNNNNNNNNNNNNNNNNNNNNNNNNNNNNNNNNNNNNNNNNNNNNNNNNNNNNNNNNNNNNNNNNNNNNNNNNNNNNNNNNNNNNNNNNNNNNNNNNNNNNNNNNNNNNNNNNNNNNNNNNNNNNNNNNNNNNNNNNNNNNNNNNNNNNNNNNNNNNNNNNNNNNNNNNNNNNNNNNNNNNNNNNNNNNNNNNNNNNNNNNNNNNNNNNNNNNNNNNNNNNNNNNNNNNNNNNNNNNNNNNNNNNNNNNNNAUUUGAAAUCAUUCUGUAUCUUCUUAUUUGUAUCAUAAUAUAUAAGGCCCUCAAAAUGUUUAACAACCUUGCCCCAUAAUACAGUGAAACCUGGCUAAACCGAAUCCUGCAUUAACCGAAAACCUGUAUAAACCAAACAUGUUCCUAAGCACAGUCAUAUCAAAUUGUAUGCACUGUGAACCUGAUAAAACCGAACAUAGGCCAAAACCGAACAAAAUCUUCCCAAAGAGGUUCGGUUUAAACAGGUUCCACUGUACAAAAAUAUUUUCCUGCAAGAUGUUGAUGUAAUUUUUUUAUUAUUAUUCAUCGGUACAUUUUUGUAACUAAAACUACAAUAAAAUUUUGUGCAAUACAUUAUAUAUAUUUAAAGAGUUUUUAAAAGAUUAUUUAAUCAUUGUUCAUUUGAAAAUGUCAUCCAAGUUGGUCCAUUGAGCCAUUAUGUUUUUUUUUGUUUUUUUUGCAACAAUUCCACAGAAAAAAACAUGAAACUGUCAUUUUGGUCUUUUGUGGAUAGUUGUCUUAUUGGCAUUCAUACCACAUCUUCUUUUUUAUAUGAAAGUUUAAUGGAGUGAGGAUUUUGUACCUUCAUACAUAUAUAUAUACUACAGAUUCAUUAUUAAUAGUUGGAUACCAAUUUUUGGGGAUUUGUGGUUAAAGGUGAUCUACAAAUUAAAAUGCUCAAGAAUUACAUUUAUAAGCUUUAUAUGCAGAGAUUGACAAAGCCAAGAAAUAAAAUAUCAACAAUACAAGUUUUUCUCAUUCACAUGACAUCUGAAUCACAUGGAAAUAAAGGAAUUUAUAGUAUCUGUAAUUCCUAUAGUUCUAUUAGAAAUUUUAUAAUAAGGCAAUGUAUACUUUAGCACUACAUAGUACCUUACUAACUCUGUAUAACUAAAUGAUUAUGUAGACCUAUAAUGGUUUACUUGUACAAAAAUAUGGAGAGUUGUCUCAUUGGCACUCAUACCACAUGUUCUUAUAUAUCUAUGUAGUAUUUUUAAUUAUAUUACAGGUAUGAUACUUAUGAAGAAAUUGAUAAAAUAGCAAAAGACAUCCUGAAGCGAGUAAAAUGUCGACCACAACUUGGAAUUAUCUGUGGUUCAGGACUUGGUGGGUUAGCAGAUUUAGUGGAAGAAAAAGAGACAAUUAGUUAUUUUGAUAUAGAAGGAUUUCCUGUUAGUACAGGUAUGUACAAGAAUGAUCAGGUAACUGUAGAUUAGAACAUACAUGUAGCGGAAACAGUAGAGAUGGUAAUUUAUUACAAUACAGGAUUUUUAGUUGGUACAUAUCGUUACAUGUAAAUGAACUUGGUCAUAUGUAAUUGAUAUUUAACCUGAGCUAUCAAAAUGUAAUGUUUGACAGACUUUAUAAUGUACAACGUAAAAAAACAUGAUGAAUCAUUAUCUGUUUUCACAUCUAUUUUAUUUUAGAAAUAUAUAUAUGAAACUUCUAUUAUCACUUGCAAUCAAACAAUACAAUGAACAGGUGUUUAGUAGUCAAACUUGUCAUUGAUUUUCCACUCAGCAUCAAUAAAUACAUCAAGGUUUUCAAAACACUUUAUCAAGCUAUUGUGUCUUUCAAUUAAGUAUAGUAUGAAAGGAAAGUACAGUCAUUACAGAAGUCAAAGCCUUCAAGAUAUUCCCAUACACCACUCAUUUCGAGUUGUACUUGUUUCUGUUUAGUUCUGAAAGUACUAACGAUUUGCUGAACCAUAUAUAAGAUAAGGAAAUGAAGGGGAUGGGGUAUGAUUGCCAGUGAGACAACUAUCAAUCCCAAGUCAAAAUGACAUGAAUAAAAGCAACUGUAUGUCAUUUUAUGGCCUUCAACAAUGAGCAAAACCAAUAAUAUUAUGUAGACUGCUGUUAAAGGCCCCUGCAUGACAAUUUAAUCUUUUUUAGAAAAAUAUAGUUUAAAAUAUUUGUAGUAUAUAUAUAUUUAUAAACCCAGAGACAGAUUUAGAGUGGGAAAGGGUGGCCUGGUCCUCCUUGUGUUGGAAAAUACUCAAAUUUCUGGAUACUCCACUAAAACUUUUAAGACAUACUGUCGCUGAACUUAUUAAGUUUCACUUUCAUGUCUUUUAUCUUUCUAAUUAUAUAAGUAACAUCAUGAAUGAGUCAUUGUGUUACUACAAACAUAAAUACAAAAAAUUUUUUUUUUUGAAAAAUUCAAUCAAAAUGCUUUGACCGAGGUAGUGCAGGACUUCAAGUGUUGUUAUAAAACAUGUGGGUAUAUUGACAUUUGCUCUCAUGCUAUCUAAAGCAAUCACUGAAUCACUACAGAUCUGCUUUCCAUUUUGCUCUCAUGCUGCCCUUAGCAAACAUCAAUCACUCAACCAUUCAAUUUAAUGCUACAAAUUUCCAUAAAACAUUUUAAAUUGUGAAGAAUAUUUGUUUUUAUUUUCAGUACCUGGACACCAAGGCCAAUUUGUGUUUGGUAAAUUACGUAAUAAACCGGUGAUAAUAAUGCAGGGACGAGUACAUGUGUAUGAGGGAUAUCCAUUGCACAAGGUAGAAUGAUACUUGUCAUGCUUGUCAGAGGCUGACUAAUAAAAUUGAGAAUGGAAAUGGGGAAUGUGCCAAAGAGACAACAACCCAACCAUAGAAAAAAACAACAGCAGAAGGUCACCAACAGGUCUUCAAUGUAGCGAGAAAUUCCCGCACCCGGAGGCGUCCUUCAACUGGCCCCUAAACAAAUAUAUACUAGUUCAGUGAUACUGAAUGCCAUACUAAUUUCCAAAUUGUACACAAGAAACUAAAAUUAAAAUAAUACAAGACUAACAAAGGCCAGAGGCUCCUGACUUGGGACAGGCGCAAAAAUGCGGCUGGGUUAAACAUGUUUGUGAGAUCUCAACCCUCUCCCUAUACCUCUAGCGAAUGUAGAAAAGUAAAUGCAUAACAAUACGCACAUUAAAAUUCAGUUCAAGAGAGGUCCGAGUCUGAUGUCAGAAGAUGUAACCAAAGAAAAUAAACAAAAUGACAAUAAUACAUAAAUAACAACAGACUACUAGCAGUUAACUGACAUGCCAGCUCCAGACUUCAAUUAAACUGACUGAAAGAUUAUGAUUUCAUCAUAUGAACAUCAGGCACAAUCCUUCCCGUAAGGGGUUUAGUAUCAUACCAUCAUAAAAUAUAUGAGAAGAACAUAACCCGUGUCAUGCCAACAACUGUUUUUUGAAUAAAUGUGUUUAGUUCCGAUGCAAAGACCCUAUAAGUGAAUCAAUAUUUACGCCAAAAUAUGCAAUCUUUAAUGACCUGACAACAGUAUCGUAACUAUAGCCCUCUUUAAUAAGUCUAUUCAAAGGUUUUUUUAGUUUUUGAGGUGAAUACUGACACCUUUGUGCUCUUAAAGAAUAUUUCCAUAAAAAAUUGGAUGUGAAAUACCUGAACGUAUAAGAAGCAUGCAUGUUGAGCUAUAUUUACGAAUGAUGUCCUUAUACCGAUGAUAAAAUUUAGUAAAUGUUUUGACUAGUUUGUGAUAUCGAAAACCCUGGUGUAAUAAUUUUUCAGUAAGACAUAAAUUUCUCUCGUUAAAAUCUAAAACAUUGUUACAUACACAACGAAUCGUACAAGUUGAGAUGGUGACAAGGGAACGUCACCAUCUACAAAUGGAUAAUUAACGAUAGGAAAUGAAAAAUCAUCUCAUUUAUCAUAAAUUUUAGUAUUCAGCUUUCCGUUAGUGAUAUAGAUAUCAAGAUCAAGGAAAGGGCAGUGGUCAUUGUUAGUAUUAGCUUUAUUUAAAGUAAGUUCAACAGGAUAAAUUUCUUUAAUAUACAUACUGAAGUCGUCAUUAUUGAGAGCCAAAAUAUCAUCCAAAUAUCUAAAGUAUUAUUAAAUUUGUUUAUAAGAUGUUGUUUCUAUGGGUCUUUGCUUAUUUUUGUCAUAAAUUGUAACUCAUAGCAAUACAAAAACAGGUCCGCAAUAAGUGGUGCACAGUUCGUCAAUUUUUUAUUAAAUGAACGUUGAUAUUUAUGUUUAAAAGUUUUCACUUGUAUAAAUUCAUCACUGAUUUCACAGUCACCGGUAGAUAAAUUUGAGCUAGUUAAAAAUUUUGAAAUGAGAAGAAAUUCUUUGAUAAAUUUUAGCAAUAGACUUAACUCCUGGUUAAUAUUUCCGAAUAAAAUAACUAGUAGAAAUUCUAAAACAAAUCUUCAGAUGAUGAUGCAGACCCUAGUAAGAUUGUAAAAUAAUAACCAAUAUACAUCACUAGUAUAACAAUAAUGAUUAAAAUUAGAUGUUGAUAAUACAUUGACACUUAAUGAGUUUCAGAUGAUCAUAACGAUUUUGAAGAAAUUGUAAAAAAAAAAAUCAACAAUUUAAUAUUUUAAAUAAUCUUUUUUAUAAAGAAGAAGAUUUCUUUAUAAGCUUUAAAGCAACUACAUGUCUGUCUUAACAUUGUGAUUUAUGAUUUAACAACCUAAAAUAGAGUAAACAAUGAAGUUUAAAUCAUAUGCAUAAGGUUGUUUUCUAGCAGACGCAGCUCAUGCGUCACACUUACUGCCUUUUAAAAAUAAAAAAAUAAAAAUUUUAAAAAUGUAGUGUCAUCUGCCACAACAUAUAAUUAAAGAGCAUGCAUUAGCACAGUAUUAAUCUUAUUUUUUUAUCUGGAAGUAUGUAAAUUAAAUACUUUUUUAUUUCAGGUAACAUUACCAAUAAAGAUAUUGAAACUGAUGGGCGUUACAACGCUUUUUAUAACAAAUGCUGCAGGUGGUAUUAACAGAGACUAUAACGUAGGGGACAUCAUGAUUAUGAAGGACCAUUUUAAUAUACCAGGAUUCUCAGGUUUAAAUCCACUAAUAGGACCAAAUGAUGACCGGUAAAUAUCUCCUUAUAUAUUUAAAGGACCCCCAACCCCACCUCCAUCACUCUCUUGAGUUCAAACUGGCACCACAAAAUAGCUGGCAGUGCUAUAAGUGACAUGAAAAUCUAUCUCAUUCUAUCAUCUCAUAUAUAUAUUGGUAGAUACAGAUAGUGGAGAACUUAUAAACUAAACUCUAUUUUAGCAUAAUUCAAACUGAAAUAUGGCAUUUAAUGAAAGCUUCAUUAUAUAACAAUUCUUUCUAGAAGUACACUUGUACUUCCAUCUUAUUUGCGUCUGAUAAAAAAUAAUAUGAAACAUUUAUUGAUUUCUUCUAUAAUUAGGGUAGAAGUAGAAUGAAGAUGUUUUUCAUUUUUAUUCCUGAUACAAAUAGUGUUCAGCAAUAAUAAGCUGAGGAUUCAGAAUUAAAGGAAGUAAGUACGGGUGUAGUUAUGAAUGGACACGGGGGGGGUCUCAACGUGGGAUUUUGGGUACAGGUGUGCAGCUGGGAUUUUAGAAACACCCCCCAUUCAUAUAUUGAAUAAUUGUGAAAUCCCUACCUAUACAUAUAUUUCACAGCGAAAUCAUAACCCAUUCAUAUAUUUUAUGACCCAUUGAUAUAUCACAAUCGGUCAAUUACUACCUAUUGAUAUAUUUCCUCGGUAAAAUUGCACCCCAUUGAUAUAUUUGACGGAUCAAAAAAGGGACCCAUUCCAGCGGCACAUAUGUAUAUACCUUUAUAUAGGAAGAGACCCCCCCCCCCGUGUGAAUGGAAAACCUGAAAACCUCUUAUUGGUCACUUAUAUAAAAAGAAUUUGUACUAAACAUUGUUGCCAAAAUACUUGUAAAACAAACAUGAACUUUGUCUUCUUUUGUAGAUUUGGACCAAGAUUUCCAGCAUUAUCUAAUGCUUAUGAUUUCAAUCUACGUAAUCUGGCAAAGAAAUGUGUCAAAGAACUAGGUUAUACAGAUUUCUGCAGGGAAGGAGUUUACUCUAUGUUAACAGGACCAUCUUACGAGACAGUCACAGAAUGUAAAUUUCUACUCCAAUGUGGGGUUGAUGCAACAGGUAAGAAUAACAUAUACUUUUCAAUGUAUGCAGUUUUACCUGUUCUUUUUGUGAAUCGGUGAUUAAAGUUUUAUAGUCGAAUUUAUAAGAUUAGAAAAAAAAGAAUUGUAAAAAUCCUUAGGCUAAAAUGAAAUCGUUACCUGAUACAUGUAUAGGAAUAUCUAUUUUUAUCAGACUUUUUAUAAUUUAGACUUUUUGUAUUGAAUUUCUUCAAUUCAUGGAUAUAAAGCAGCUUUAAGUGGUCGAUUUUUCAGUAGCAGUUGAAGUUAUUUCUUCUCUCUUCUUUUAGCAAGUCUAGUCCAACACUUGAUUAAUCUUAAAAAUGUAUAUGUUCAUUCUUUUUAAAUCUUCAAAACAUGCAUGACAUAUUGCCAUCACAUGAUAAUUAAUCAACAGCCAAGAAAAUUAACAAAGUUUUCAUCUGAACAAUGGAGACAAUAAGAUUUCAUGUUUAAGAAUUUGAAUUUAUUAAUCAAGACUCUAUUGAAAUACACCUCACAAUACACUGAAUGCACAGGACUGAUAAAGUUACCAAUGUUCUAUGUUUUUAUAAGUCAGACAUGAAGAUUUGAGUCGAGGUUAAUAAUUUGUUUAUUUUCUAUAGGUAUGAGUACAGUACCUGAAGCCAUCGUGGCUGUCUAUUGUGGCAUGAAAGUGUUUGGAUUAUCUCUGAUUACAAAUAGCUGUAUUAUGGAGUAUGACUGUAAAACCUGUGCAAAUCAUGAAGAAGUUCUAGAGACUGCAAAACUCAGAAGUAAAGAUGUACAGACUCUCAUUUCCAAAAUGGUGGCUGAGGUUGAAGUGUAACAGCCAAAUCACAAUUCAUAUGUUGUUUAUCUCUUUGUUGAUUGUUUUUCUUGUUAAAAUUUAUUGUUAUACAAAAAUGGACUAAGAAAGUGAGAGAAUAAAUCCUUGAAAAAUGUCUUCCCCCCCCAAAAAAAAUAGAAUCCUGUAGUUGUAAUGAGAUUAUUUCACACAGUUAUCAGUUUUCAUGGUUACAAUAGAAUCUCAGAUGUUUUUUUUUUUUAUAAGCUAGAUAAUAGUAGAUUUUUUUUUUAGAAAUAUUAUCAGUAGGUUUGGCCAUGUAAUGGGUGGAUUUAUGGAACUGCAUAAAGUCAUUUUCAUUCAAAAGGGGAGAUUUUUCUUGUAUUUUAGAUCAUGCAUCAAUUUCUUGUGCUUUAUUUUCUGUUUUGAUGUUAAUAAAAAGAUGUUCAAGGGAGACAAUUGCCUGUGUAAAAAAACAAAUGCAAGAUUACUUCCCUUUAAAUUUAUGGUACCUUUCUGAUUUAAAGUAAAAUAAACAGACAAUUACUCUAAAAAUCUAUCGAAAUUUUAUACAAAUUUAUAAAAAAUAAUAAUAAAAUUGUUUAAUGAAUUUCUGUUAAAAUGUCUAUGUUAAAAACAAAAUUGGAGCUGAUAUACUGAAAUAAGCUGACUGUAGUUGUAUAUAAAAUGGCUGUGAGUUUAUUUGUAUAUAUGGCAUUAUAAUUUUAUAAUUCUAACGACUUUUGUAUUGAAUCUCUCUAUAUGUUAAGACUGUCGUUCUUAUGUUGUAAAUUUUAGUGGGUUUUCGGAUGACAACUCUUCAUUUGAAUUAUGUUGGUGUAGAAGUAAGCCUCUUUACAUUUUAUAAAUAUUUUGUGUGAUACUUGUUUUGUAUAGUAUUUUAAGACUGUAAUUUAUUGUUAUAUGAAUGAAUGAAUUAAAAAAAGGUAAAGUAAUCCUGUUUAUAAUUUAAUGAUCAUAAAUAUUAUCCAUACUGUCAAAACCGUUAAAAAAACAGCAUUUGAGAACAGUUGAUGAAAGAACUACUGAUAGUUUAAUUUUUCUGUGCACAUUACUGAAACAGCAUGGGAGUUAUAGUUCAAUAUUCACAUAUAUGGAAUAUAUUAAAGAAAUUACCCAACAUUAGAAAUGUUUUACAAACAUUGUUUUAGGUAUGGAUAUUAUAAUUAUGAAUUGAUAUUGAAUGCUUAAAUGAUUAAUUACUUAGUGCUCUGUAUGUAAAUAUGGUAUGAUAUAUUUCAAGCAGUUUGAGUAGGAUGUGUGUGCUUUAUUUAAUUUGUAAAAAGUUUUUUAUGCAUCCACUGAAUAUGUAAAAAUCCUUGUAUUUUGCAGUUAACCAAAACAAACAAAAAUCAAUUUAAAACAAUCAACCUGUUUUGUUUCAAGUACGAAAUAUAUAUUUUAUUUUCAUAUUUUAUAAACAUAUAGUGAAAAAUGUCUCAAAAAAUUUAAAUUGAAUAUUUUUUAUCUAUAUAAGACUUUAUUUCAUUGUUUUUUUGUUGAGAAAGGCAGCUAUGUUCCUAUGAAAUGAGUUUUGAAACAUAAACCUUUCAUAAAUUCUUCUUUCACUUUUAUACUUAAAAUGGCUCUACUGAAAUUUUAGGUCCAGAUUGUUUUCAAUGACAUAUUACUUUCAGUAUCCUGGUUUAGGAUACAGAAAAAGAAACUGUUCUGUUUUUUAAUAUUUUUUUAGAAGAUUAGCUUAAUUAUUGAAGAUUUUAUCAUCAGCUUUUCCUUUGAAAUAUCCUUUUAAUAUGUUACAAUUAAAUUAAGAUACAUCAAUACUUCUUUUCACCAAAGAUCAUGCAUUGUAAAAGAUUAACAACUAGUAGCUACUUAUUUAAAAAUUAGAGAUAGAAUUUAUUUAUUUGAAAAUUAAAUUUUUGAUGAAUCUCAUAUAUUGGUAGAGGCCAAAAAAAGAUAUAACUAUGUUUCUUGCAUCCCUACCUAUCCAGAAUUUCCAAUGCUUUUCUAACACGUGUAAUUGACCUUUAUAUUGCAGUUCCUACCUGGUACCCUAUUUUUUUCUUGCAGGAAACUGCACGGAAACUGGUAUCUAAAUUUUUAUGUUUUACCAUCAUAGCUAUAGAAAGUUUCUGAACAUAGUGUGUAGUGUUGUGAAUCUCAAAUAGUACAGGAAAUUAAGUUUGUUUUUAGAGAUUAUUUUUUAUAUUAUUUUUUGUUAUUAUAUUUAAUCACUGGCUAGAAAUUCCCUCUCAUCAUGAUAAUUUAUUAUUGACACCAAGUUAAGAUUACACAUCAAUGAUAGUACAAAAUGGUUACUGUUACUUAUUUUGAGUUUCUUUGACAAAAUUGUAGUGUCUUCCUGUUAUACAGGACCUUGAUGACACUUAAUAAAAGACCAAAAUCAUAUGAAAAGAUUUCAGGACCAUUGUACGACAUACAAGUCUCAUGAUUGUUUUUUAAAUAAUAUUCUGCAAAUGUGAAAAUACAGGUAUAUUUUUCAACUGCCUUAAAUACACAGGUUAACAUAUGAUUGUUUGUAUUGAGUGUUGUUGACUUAUAAGCUAUGCUAAUAACAAAAAUGCAAUUUAUAUUUUUGAAUCUUGAUGUUUAUAUUUUUUCCCGGUGAUGAAGAUCUCAUGAAGAAAUAUAUAUGACAUUAUAAAUGAAAUAUAUUUUAUGCCUCGGCUGUGAUGGAAGGGGCAGAAAGGUUUACCUGUGACAAUAUGUCUCUAACUUCAGUUUGUUGACCAAAUGUUAUUGAAUUCUUACACAAUGAUUAUUACCACAAAAAUGCAUAGAUCAAAUUUGAACUUGGGUGUGGUUGCUUUCACUGUUCUUGAGUUAUGUCCUUUUAUAAAUAGAAAAAUAGCUGAAUGUGCUGUUUUUUCAUUCCAAACUUUACUUUUCUACAAUCUGAAACUUAUAUACAAUGCUGACUGCCGCCAAACACAGAUCAUUUGAGGAUUUGAGGAAUAAAUUAAAAACAUUUUGCGGUUUGACUCUCAAUACAUGUGUAAUAGUGUAUUGUUAUUGUUUACUCUUUAGUGCAUAACUUGUUGACAUUAAAUAUUAUUUUAUACAUGUAUGUUUUAAUAUUGUUAUUUUCCCCAAUCAUUUGGUUGGUCAUAUCUCAGUUAGUGAAGCCAGAUUUAUUUUUGUUUAUAAAUAUUAUUUUAUGUGUGCAUGCCUUUAUUUAGACACACACCUUUUGUUUAUUUUUUAUCCUCUAAUACUAAGUGUAGCAUACAGAAUGAGUAAAUCGGAUAUUUUCAGUAAUACUAGAUCUCAAAUACCAAAUAAUGUCCAAAGAAGGUAGAAAUAUAGAGGUAGGCAUUGUGACAUAUUGAUACUUAAUCUUGUUUUACUACCAUUAACCGUUAACAUGUUAAUUUAACUUUAUAUUUGAACUCAGAAGAAUAAAGAAAUUGGGUCAUUAUGGUCAAUUUACAGUGAAAAUGCUCAUUCCUGCAUUCCCUUAUCAUUAUUUAUUUAUAAGCAUAAGUUUUCAUAUCCAAAUUCACUUGUAAGUAGGCUUUCCCAUUUGCUAACAAAGAAUUGUAAUAAUUAUUCUUUCUGAACUUCUAAAAUGUAUUUAGAAUAAUGUGUGCUUAAUUUAGAUUGCUGUGUAUUUAUAUCUUGAGUAUAAUGAUUAUAUGCUAUUUGCUAUUGUUUACAUACUAUUGUUAUGAUUUGAAUAUAAAGCUAGGAACAGAAAUGUCUACAUGUUAAGUAUGUAUAAGUAUGAUCUCUUAAGUGAAUCUUUUUAAAAAUUACUUAAACAUUUGACAUAAAGGUAGGUCAGGUGUUGUCACACUGAAUGCAAUCUGGUGCAAACCUCUGCUUUCUAAUGUACCAAAUAUUCAAACAUAGAUAUGUGAUUAAGGAAAGUUAAAGCUUGAUAUUUAUAAUACUAUUAAGUUUAGUAAAAUACAACAUCUAUCAUUUUGUUCAAUUACUUUAAUAUGUAGAAAUAUAUCAGAAUUAAUUGAAAGCAGGUUGAAAUUUCAAUAUUGUAGGUGUUUCAAAAUACAUCAUAUGAUAAUAUCUCAAUAGAGACAUUUUGUAUGUAUUAUAGAAGAUAUUUAAAUGCAUAUCAGCAUACAGAGGGUUAGUUGUGGUAAAUUAUUGGUAUUUAAGCAUAGUGUGUAAGCAAAUAAAAGAUUUGUUGUUGAGAUUUGAUAAAUAAAGGACAUGCAUCAUACUUGAUGACUAUUUUCUUAGAAUGAUAAAUUAGAAGUAAACAUCUGUCCACUACAACAGAUGUUACCUUUUAAAAAAAAAGUUGGUCAAGGUAUUUACUAAUGAGAGUUAUAUUUAGAAAAUGUGUCCUUUGUAUAAUUAAAAUAGUGGCCA